UACGUAGGGUGCAAGCGUUAAUCGGAAUUACUGGGCGUAAAGCGUGCGCAGGCGGUUCGCUAAGACAGAUGUGAAAUCCCCGGGCUUAACCUGGGAACUGCAUUUGUGACUGGCAGGCUAGAGUAUGGCAGAGGGGGGUAGAAUUCCACGUGUAGCAGUGAAAUGCGUAGAGAUGUGGAGGAAUACCGAUGGCGAAGGCAGCCCCCUGGGCCAAUACUGACGCUCAUGCACGAAAGCGUGGGGAGCAAACAGG
This 253-nucleotide ribosomal RNA is filed under the name uncultured bacterium. RNAcentral describes it as "partial 16S ribosomal RNA". It matches the Rfam family "Bacterial small subunit ribosomal RNA", at positions 524 to 776 of the family's 1533-position model. The record is from RNAcentral.